UCUUCCGAUCCUCACUCAGGCAAUCAAGGAAAGGGUCGUGAGGAUCCCAACUCUGAGAGGAAGCCAACAUUGACUGACUUUCAUGGUUAAGAUUCGACAAAAAAGAAGAAGAACCAACAAGAUAAGAUCGAGCGGUCUCUGCUCCUCUCUAACUCAGAGGAGAAGCGGAACUGUCUAUGGACUGCCUUGCUUGAUCAUCCUAUCAGUCAUGGUAACGAAUUGAGUAUCUCUGGUAGCUGGU
RNAcentral lists this long non-coding RNA (241 nucleotides) under Phaseolus vulgaris (common bean). Its description in RNAcentral is "long non-coding RNA (PVUL_LNC002949)". Lineage: Eukaryota; Viridiplantae; Streptophyta; Magnoliopsida; Fabales; Fabaceae. The record is from RNAcentral.